Molecule: ribosomal RNA, 549 nt
Filed under: Olea europaea subsp. europaea
Lineage: Eukaryota; Viridiplantae; Streptophyta; Magnoliopsida; Lamiales; Oleaceae
Description: SSU_rRNA_microsporidia
Rfam family: Eukaryotic small subunit ribosomal RNA (bases 1-453)
Source: RNAcentral
GAUUAGUAAAAAUCAAACCAAAACACAAGAAAAUUCACAAGAAAACUCUCAAGGCAAGUGUGCACCAUGUGGGAUUUUCUCUCACUAGAUUGAAAACAUCAAUCUCUAAGUCACUUUUACUAGGAGCUCUUUCUAGAUUCUAUGGGUAGUGGUGCAUGGCCGUUCUUAGUCUGUGGAGCGAUUUGUUCGAUUAAUUUCGUUAACAAACGAGACCUGAACCUACUUCCUAGCUAUACCAGGGUACCCUUUCACGGCCAGCUUCUUAGAGGGACUACAGCCUUUUAGGCUGUGAAAGUUUGAGGCAAUAACAAGUGUGUGAUGCCCUUAGAUGUUCUGGACCGCACGCGCGCUACAAUGAUGUAUUCAACGAGUUUAUAGCCUUGGUCAAUAGGUCCGGGUAAUCUUUAAAAUUUCAUCGUUAUGGGGAUAGAUCAUUGCAAUUGUUGGUCGACGGUCCGCUGCCCACGAUGUUACGAGAAGUCCACUAAACCUUAUCAUUUAGAGGAAGGAAAAUUCGUAACAAGAUUUCUGUAGGUAAACCUAUGGAAG